AGGGAAUUAGUUUAAUGGUAAACAAGAUGCUACGGACAUCGAAAUUAUAGUUCGAGUCUAUAAUGCCCUU
RNAcentral lists this transfer RNA (70 nucleotides) under Clonostachys rosea f. rosea IK726. It matches the Rfam family "tRNA". From Rfam's summary of the family: Transfer RNA (tRNA) molecules are approximately 80 nucleotides in length. Lineage: Eukaryota; Fungi; Ascomycota; Sordariomycetes; Hypocreales; Bionectriaceae. The record is from RNAcentral.